UACGUAGGGUGCGAGCGUUGUCCGGAAUUAUUGGGCGUAAAGAGCUCUUAGGCGGUUUGUCGCGUCGAAUGUGAAAACCCGGGGCUCAACCCCGGGCCUGCAUUCGAUACGGGCAGACUAGAGUUCGGUAGGGGAGUCUGGAAUUCCUGGUGUAGCGGUGAAAUGCGCAGAUAUCAGGAGGAACACCGGUGGCGAAGGCGGGACUCUGGGCCGAUACUGACGCUGAGGAGCGAAAGCGUGGGGAGCGAACAGG
RNAcentral lists this ribosomal RNA (253 nucleotides) under uncultured bacterium. RNAcentral describes it as "partial 16S ribosomal RNA". It matches the Rfam family "Bacterial small subunit ribosomal RNA", at positions 524 to 776 of the family's 1533-position model. The record is from RNAcentral.